This 164-nucleotide ribosomal RNA is filed under the name uncultured bacterium. RNAcentral's name for it is "partial 16S ribosomal RNA". It matches the Rfam family "Bacterial small subunit ribosomal RNA", at positions 355 to 511 of the family's 1533-position model. The record is from RNAcentral.
UAGGGAAUCUUCCACAAUGGGCGAGAGCCUGAUGGAGCAACGCCGCGUGUGUGAUGAAGGGUUUCGGCUCGUAAAACACUGUUGUAAGAGAAGAAUGACAUUGAGAGUAACUGUUCAAUGUGUGACGGUAUCUUACCAGAAAGGAACGGCUAAAUACGCGCCAG